CCUACGGGAGGCUGCAGUGGGGAAUAUUGCACAAUGGGCGCAAGCCUGAUGCAGCCAUGCCGCGUGUGUGAAGAAGGCCUUCGGGUUGUAAAGCACUUUCAGCGGGGAGGAAGGCGGUGAGGUUAAUAACCUCAUCGAUUGACGUUACCCGCAGAAGAAGCACCGGCUAACUCCGUGCCAGCAGCCGCGGUAAUACAGAGGGUGCAAGCGUUAAUCGGAAUUACUGGGCGUAAAGCGCACGCAGGCGGUCUGUCAAGUCGGAUGUGAAAUCCCCGGGCUCAACCUGGGAACUGCAUUCGAAAAUGGCAGGCUAGAGGCUUGUAGAGGGGGGUAGAAUUCCAGGUGUAGCGGUGAAAUGCGUAGAGAUCUGGAGGAAUACCGGUGGCGAAGGCGGCCCCCUGGACAAAGACUGACGCUCAGGUGCGAAAGCGUGGGGAGCAAACAGGAUUAGAUACCCCAGUAGUC
RNAcentral lists this ribosomal RNA (465 nucleotides) under uncultured Klebsiella sp. RNAcentral's name for it is "bacterial SSU rRNA". It matches the Rfam family "Bacterial small subunit ribosomal RNA", at positions 338 to 795 of the family's 1533-position model. The record is from RNAcentral. Lineage: Bacteria; Pseudomonadati; Pseudomonadota; Gammaproteobacteria; Enterobacterales; Enterobacteriaceae.